CUCCGACUGGCGUUACAUGGGAAAGACAGGGAAAUGCUGUGAAGCUGUCAGGCCCACCUGAGCCAUGGGGCACCCUGUGUCCCUUCCACUGGCUGCUCCCUCCCUCCUCCCUCAGCACGCCUUCUCCUGGGCUCCUGCUUCACAGGGCCAAGGUCCUAGAGGAGUUACAGCAUUUGGCCUCCAAGCACGCCAACCUGGUCAUCAUCCCGCUUGAAGUCACCGACCCCACCAGCAUCCAGGCAGCUGCAGGCAGAGUCAGGGAGCACCUGAAGGACUCUGGGCUGAACCUCCUCAUCAACAAUGCUGGCAUUGCAAAUCCAAGCUCUUUGGAUACUGAGACUGUGGAGAACAUGUCCCAGGUGUA
This is a long non-coding RNA of Rhea pennata, 364 nucleotides long. RefSeq lists it as uncharacterized. The transcript is spliced from 3 exons. NCBI's taxonomy places the organism in Eukaryota, Metazoa, Chordata, Aves, Rheiformes, Rheidae. The record is from RefSeq and is a predicted model, not a curated record.